CAGUAGCCGCGGGAAUACGGAGGGGGCUAGCGUUGUUCGGAAUUACUGGGCGUAAAGCGCACGUAGGCGGCUUGGUAAGUUAGAGGUGAAAGCCUGGAGCUCAACUCCAGAAUUGCCUUUAAGACUGCCGAGCUAGCAGGUGAGAGAGGUAAGUGGAAUUCCGAGUGUAGAGGUGAAAUUCGUAGAUAUUCGGAAGAACACCAGUGGCGAAGGCGGCUUACUGGCUCAUACUGGACGCUGAGGUGCGAAAGCGUGGGGAGCAAACAGGAUUAGAUACCCGUGUAGUCCCUGUCUCUUAUAA
RNAcentral lists this ribosomal RNA (301 nucleotides) under uncultured bacterium. Its description in RNAcentral is "partial 16S ribosomal RNA". It matches the Rfam family "Bacterial small subunit ribosomal RNA", at positions 509 to 809 of the family's 1533-position model. The record is from RNAcentral.